CAAGUCGAACGGUGACCUCGGAGCUUGCUCCGGGCGAUCAGUGGCGAACGGGUGAGUAACACGUGAGUAACCUGCCCCAGACUCUGGGAUAACCCCGGGAAACCGGAGCUAAUACCGGAUACGAUACGAAGAGGCAUCUCUAUCGUGUGGAAAGUUUUUCGGUCUGGGAUGGACUCGCGGCCUAUCAGCUAGUUGGUGAGGUAACGGCUCACCAAGGCGACGACGGGUAGCCGGCCUGAGAGGGCGACCGGCCACACUGGGACUGAGACACGGCCCAGACUCCUACGGGAGGCAGCAGUGGGAAUAUUGCACAAUGGGCGAAAGCCUGAUGCAGCGACGCCGCGUGGGGGAUGACGGCCUUCGGGUUGUAAACCCCUUUCAGCAGGGAAGAAGCGAAAGUGACGGUACCUGCAGAAGAAGCACCGGCUAACUACGUGCCAGCAGCCGCGGUAAUACGUAGGGUGCGAGCGUUGUCCGGAAUUAUUGGGCGUAAAGAGCUUGUAGGCGGUCUGUCGCGUCUGCUGUGAAAAUCCGGGGCUCAACCCCGGACUUGCAGUGGGUACGGGCAGACUAGAGUGUGGUAGGGGAGACUGGAAUUCCUGGUGUAGCGGUGAAAUGCGCAGAUAUCAGGAGGAACACCGAUGGCGAAGGCAGGUCUCUGGGCCACUACUGACGCUGAGAAGCGAAAGCAUGGGGAGCGAACAGGAUUAGAUACCCUGGUAGUCCAUGCCGUAAACGUUGGGAACUAGGUGUGGGUCUCAUUCCACGAGAUCCGUGCCGCAGCUAACGCAUUAAGUUCCCCGCCU
RNAcentral lists this ribosomal RNA (806 nucleotides) under uncultured bacterium. RNAcentral describes it as "bacterial SSU rRNA". It matches the Rfam family "Bacterial small subunit ribosomal RNA", at positions 58 to 874 of the family's 1533-position model. The record is from RNAcentral.